Molecule: non-coding RNA, 312 nt
Organism: Fukomys damarensis (Damara mole-rat)
Lineage: Eukaryota; Metazoa; Chordata; Mammalia; Rodentia; Bathyergidae
Source: Rfam
GGAUGUGAAGGCCAUCUGGCUGUGACAUCUGUCAACUCACUGAUCGCCAGGGUUGAUUCGGCUGAUCUGGCUGGCUAGGCGGGUGUCCCUUCCUCUCUCACCACUCCUUGUGCGUCCCUCCUGAAGCUGCAAGCUCAGUUGGAGAGGACGAGCAUCCCCGAUGGAGGAGGACCAUUUCCUCAGUUAAGGGUAUACGGGUAGCUGCGUUCCAGCCCCAGAACCUCCAAACAAGCUCUCAAGGUCCAUCAUGCAGCCAUGCCACCUGCUCACAGCACUGCCGUGUGGCUGAAGGGACAGCAGCAGAGCAGUGGU